RNAcentral lists this ribosomal RNA (495 nucleotides) under uncultured bacterium. RNAcentral's name for it is "partial 16S ribosomal RNA". It matches the Rfam family "Bacterial small subunit ribosomal RNA", at positions 28 to 505 of the family's 1533-position model. The record is from RNAcentral.
GAUGAACGCUGGCGGCGUGCCUAAUACAUGCAAGUCGAGCGAACGGACGAGAAGCUUGCUUCUCUGAUGUUAGCGGCGGACGGGUGAGUAACACGUGGAUAACCUACCUAUAAGACUGGGAUAACUUCGGGAAACCGGAGCUAAUACCGGAUAAUAUUUUGAACCGCAUGGUUCAAAAGUGAAAGACGGUCUUGCUGUCACUUAUAGAUGGAUCCGCGCUGCAUUAGCUAGUUGGUGAGGUAACGGCUUACCAAGGCAACGAUGCAUAGCCGACCUGAGAGGGUGAUCGGCCACACUGGAACUGAGACACGGUCCAGACUCCUACGGGAGGCAGCAGUAGGGAAUCUUCCGCAAUGGGCGAAAGCCUGACGGAGCAACGCCGCGUGAGUGAUGAAGGUCUUCGGAUCGUAAAACUCUGUUAUUAGGGAAGAACAUAUGUGUAAGUAACUGUGCACAUCUUGACGGUACCUAAUCAGAAAGCCACGGCUAACUACG